ACGCUCGACACCUACGGAGGGCAGCAGUGGGGAAUAUUGCACAAUGGGGGAAACCCUGAUGCAGCGAUGCCGCGUGAAGGAAGAAGUAUCUCGGUAUGUAAACUUCUAUCAGCAGGGAAGAAAAUGACGGUACCUGACUAAGAAGCCCCGGCUAACUACGUGCCAGCAGCCGCGGUAAUCUGAGCGGGCUGGCAAGGC
RNAcentral lists this ribosomal RNA (198 nucleotides) under uncultured bacterium. Its description in RNAcentral is "partial 16S ribosomal RNA". It matches the Rfam family "Bacterial small subunit ribosomal RNA", at positions 326 to 539 of the family's 1533-position model. The record is from RNAcentral.